GGGGCAGUGCUGUUUUGGCGUAUCUUUACAGAUGCCUAUGCCGAGCGUCUAUUGGUGCUGUCAGAGAUGUGUGUGGAUUUUUUGCUCUUCUCCAGUUAUGGGCGUGAGAGAGGAUGCUGCCUUUUCAGCCCGUACCUAGGCAUCACCUCGAGAUUGACACACCUUAUGCGAGGAGGUGGACAACGGGUUUUGACCGGAAAGUGGAUACGCACCACAGUAUUCUUCCAUUCCGGGACCAGCUUGAUCACAUGACGGACGAUGCGCUAUUUAUAUGGACGCCGUACGCUGCUAUAUUAAAUGGUUUUCCAGCCUUUUGCAGGGCAGGUCAGGGGGUUUGGAGGUCGCGGUGUCCAUUGAUACACCUGGACAUCGUAGAGGACCACAUGCCCGAGCGUGUCUCACGACAGUUUGGGCAUACACAGAGUAUACCCCCUGACGUCCGUCAUGAGCUCCGACACUAAC
Molecule: long non-coding RNA, 462 nt
Organism: Lycium ferocissimum
Lineage: Eukaryota; Viridiplantae; Streptophyta; Magnoliopsida; Solanales; Solanaceae
Exons: 3
Source: RefSeq, a predicted model, not a curated record